Molecule: long non-coding RNA, 869 nt
Filed under: Gossypium barbadense (sea-island cotton)
Lineage: Eukaryota; Viridiplantae; Streptophyta; Magnoliopsida; Malvales; Malvaceae
Description: long non-coding RNA (GBAR_LNC021705)
Source: RNAcentral
CCCAAGCUUGCACCGGGCUAACUCCCCAACCUCCACAACCAAAGAAAUUUCCAAGUUUGAUUACCACACAGUUGAAUUCUCAUUAACAGUAGUUUCAAAAACCCUGCUUCCAGGAUGCUAUGAUGCAAACACCUCCAACAAAGGUGUUUUAAAUUCGGUUACUAAAUAUUAACCUAUUUGACUAUGGCCAAAUAAAUAAAUAAAUAUAUUUGACACAUGAUAAGUUUUAAAUUAUGUUACUAAAUAUUAACCUAUUUUUUUUAUUACAAAGAACUAAACUUUAAGUCCUACCAAAUAUCUUAAUGUUGGUAAUACAGAAAGUGAAGAAACAAGUCGUUGAACAGCUACUGCAACACGAAACUUUGCCUUGAGCUUCAAAAACACAUCAAAAUUUUAAAAAUAUCAACAUUUUUAAACUUUAUAUUAAUACUCAAAUUUCUAACAAAAAUGUUAAUUUUUUUUGUGUGAGCUACCCUAAUCAUCCCAACCCUUUUUUCCAAACAAAAAUUAAAAUCUAGAAAUAGCGUCGGGGUGAAAAUCUAUACAUACCUUGUUAGGUCAAAAUUAUGUUUCUUCCCCCUUUUUCCUAAUAAGUAAUUUAUCAUAUCAGUAAUUUUCUAAGCACCCAAUAAAAAAAUUUAAAAAGAAAGAAAGAAAUGAAGUAGAACUGUCUUACCUGAGACAAUGUCGAUUAAGACUGAGAGAAGACUGAUAUUUUCUUCAAUGUGAGGAGCAGCUAAAAUAGAAGAACAAGGUAUGUAUAUUUUUUUUCAAGCAACGAAAAGACUGAGAAAGAAAAUGGACGGGAGUUUGGGAUUUCAAGUAAAGAGAAGUCUAGGAAAAAAAAGGGACAAGAUUUUGGGGUUUCA